AUCUAGUUGACGAGUCCCAACCUGGACGAAGUGUGCAUCCUGGAU
This 45-nucleotide non-coding RNA is filed under the name Schistosoma mansoni. Lineage: Eukaryota; Metazoa; Platyhelminthes; Trematoda; Strigeidida; Schistosomatidae. The record is from RNAcentral.